AAGCUUGUGGGGGGGGAUUCCCCAGGGGGGGGGUGUGCAAUAAAUAACAAUGCCGGGCCUUUGUAGGUCUGGCAAUUGGAAUGAGAACAAUUUAAACCCCUUAUCGAGUAUCAAUUGGAGGGCAAGUCUGGUGCCAGCAGCCGCGGUAAUUCCAGCUCCAAUAGCGUAUAUUAAAGUUGUUGCAGUUAAAAAGCUCGUAGUUGGAUUUGUGGCGGUCGCAUGCGGCCCGGCAUUCGUGUUGGUGUUUGCUCGCGUCGCCAUCCUUGGGUGGAACCUGUGUGGCAUUAGGUUGUCGUGCAGGGGAUGCCCAUCAUUUACUGUGAAAAAAUUAGAGUGUUCAAAGCAGGCUUAUGCCGUUGAAUAUAUUAGCAUGGAAUAAUAAGAUAGGACCUUGGUACUAUUUUGUUGGUUUGCGCACCAAGGUAAUGAUUAAUAGGGACAGUUGGGGGUAUUCGUAUUCCAUUGUCAGAGGUGAAAUUCUUGGAUUUCUGGAAGACGAACUACUGCGAAAGCAUUUACCAAGGAUGUUUUCAUUAAUCAAGAACGAAAGUUAGGGGAUCGAAGAUGAUUAGAUACCAUCGUAGUCUUAACCAUAAACUAUGCCGACAAGGGAUUGGCGGAGUCUCGUUUUGUCUCCGUCAGCACCUUUAAAAAAAAUCCCCAAAAAUUAUAUU
RNAcentral lists this ribosomal RNA (674 nucleotides) under Nitzschia palea. Its description in RNAcentral is "partial small subunit ribosomal RNA". It matches the Rfam family "Eukaryotic small subunit ribosomal RNA", at positions 422 to 1111 of the family's 1831-position model. The record is from RNAcentral. Lineage: Eukaryota; Bacillariophyta; Bacillariophyceae; Bacillariales; Bacillariaceae.